GAUGAACGCUGGCGGCGUGCCUAAUACAUGCAAGUCGAGCGAACAGACGAGGAGCUUGCUCCUCUGACGUUAGCGGCGGACGGGUGAGUAACACGUGGAUAACCUACCUAUAAGACUGGGAUAACUUCGGGAAACCGGAGCUAAUACCGGAUAAUAUAUUUAACCGCAUGGUUCAAUAGUGAAAGACGGUUUUGCUGUCACUUAUAGAUGGAUCCGCGCCGCAUUAGCUAGUUGGUAAGGUAACGGCUUACCAAGGCAACGAUGCGUAGCCGACCUGAGAGGGUGAUCGGCCACACUGGAACUGAGACACGGUCCAGACUCCUACGGGAGGCAGCAGUAGGGAAUCUUCCGCAAUGGGCGAAAGCCUGACGGAGCAACGCCGCGUGAGUGAUGAAGGUCUUCGGAUCGUAAAACUCUGUUAUUAGGGAAGAACAAAUGUGUAAGUAACUAUGCACGUCUUGACGGUACCUAAUCAGAAAGCCACGGAUAACUACGUG
This 497-nucleotide ribosomal RNA is filed under the name uncultured bacterium. RNAcentral describes it as "partial 16S ribosomal RNA". It matches the Rfam family "Bacterial small subunit ribosomal RNA", at positions 28 to 507 of the family's 1533-position model. The record is from RNAcentral.